UUCAGAUUGUUUUUAUCUUUUUCUUAAUUAUUUUAUUUACAUUUCAAGUGUUGUUCCCCCUUCCCAAUCCCCACUCCACUCCUCCCCCACCCCUCCCUGAACUGGAAACUUAAGGUUUUUUGGAAAAUCAGUUGGAUGGUGUUUUGCUGGGGCAAACACAUGAAGGAACAUUUUGUUAAAGUAGACACAGGUGUGAAAGGCUAAGGCCGACCCAUGAAGGAACGUUUCGGAAGCAGACAUACAGGGGAGAGGAAGUUCUGCUAAAGCAAGCACGUGAAAGGACACGUGACAAAGGAUUCUUUGCUAAAUGACACACAUGUAUUGGUCUGCCUUAUAUUGCAUAGUUGAGCUAUAUUACUCAGGACUCCAUAGAGAGCAAUGGAACAAAAAACAUCUGGUGGUGUGCUGCAGUUUCUUGCCACUUCCUCAGACUUGGGCUGACUGGAUGCAUGUGCUGAGGCAAGGCACAUGUAGGACACAUGAUGUUUGGAGGGUAGAAAUAGGACUCCUGAUGGAAACAGAGCUUGGCUUGCUGUGCAACCUUGUGGAUCUUGAGUCUUCACUGAUCUUCGUUCCCCUGAGAGAGGCACAGCUGAGAACUUCUCCUGGUAAAAAAAAAAAAAAAAAAAAAAAAAAAGAGAGAACUUCUCCUGGUGUUCCUGCUGGUCCCUCCCGCUGACUGGUGCUAAGGCUGAUGCCUGAUUGUCUCAGCUAGAUGGUGUCACCCUGUCACUGUUGUUGCUAACCUGACUCUACCGAAUUGGACUACUGAUAUAUCCGUGAAGUGUUUGCGAGUGGAUGGAGCUGCUGCUGCCUGCUAAUUGAACUGAUUUCCAGACAACACAGACAGGAGUUGCUCCAAAGAAACUUUUUAAACAGGUUCACUCCUCCAGCCCACCCCCCAGACCCCAGACCCCCGUAUCCUUUCUUUCCCACUACUCUGGUGGGUGGUAGGCUACAAGUGUUUAAGAACCAUCAUUCAAAAUAAAGUUUGAAAAAAUUAAAGUUACACAUCCCCCUCCCCUUUGCCUUUAAGAGGGUGCUCACUCACCCACUCAGUCCCACUUCACCCCUCUAGAAUCUCCCUUCUUUGGGGCAUCAAGCCUCCACAGGACCAAUCACAUCCUCUCACACUGAUGCCAGAUAAGGCAGUCCUCUUCUACAUAUGUAACAGGAGCACGGACUGGACCGUGUAUUCUCUUUCACUGGUGGCUUAGUCCCUGGGAGCUCUGAUGGGUCUGGUUAGUUGAAACUUUUGUUCUUCCUAUGAGGUUACAAUCCCCUUCAGGUCCUUGAGUUCUUUCCUUAACUCUUCCAUUGGAAUCCCCAAGCUCAAUCCAAUAGUUGGCUAUGAUUAUCUGCGUCUGUCUUAGGUACUGGCAGAGCCUCUAGAGGACAGCCAUGCCAGGCUCCUGCCUGCAAGUACAUCUUGGCAUCAGCAAUAAUGUUAAGGUUUGGUGUCUACAAAUAGGGUGGAUCCCAAGUUGGGGCGGCCUCUGAUGGCCUUUCCUUCAGUCUCUGCUCCAUUUUUUGUCCCUGCAUUUUCUUUAGUCAGGGACAAUUCCCAGUUAAAAUUUUUGAGAUGAGUGGAUGACCCCACACCACCACUAGGGGCCAUGUCCAUCUACUGGAGGUGGUCUCUUCAUGUUCUGUCUCCCUGCUAUUGGGUAUUUCGGCUAAUGUCAUCCCGAUUGGGUCCUGGGAGCUCCUUCAGCCAUUCGAGAUUCCUCAGUUGAGAAAUCUCUAUUUAGCUCUGUACCACAUUUUUUAAUUGGAUUAUUUGGUUUGAAAAAAUCACAUCAUCUCAUUAAAUGCUGAAAAAGCCUUUGACAAAAUACAACACCCCUUCAUGUUAAAAGUCUUGGAGAGAUCAGGAAUUCAAGGCACAUUCCUAAACAUAAUAAAAGCAAUAUCCAGCAAACCAGCAGCCAACAUCAAAUUUAAUGGAGAGAAACUUGAAGUGAUCCCACUAAAAUCAGGGAUAAGACAAGGCUGCCACUCUCUCCCUAUUUAGACAACAAAAAAAGGUCAAAGUGACACAUAUUGGAAAGGAAGAAGUCAAAGUAUCACCAUUUGCAGAUGAUAUAGUAUACAUAGUGACCCCAAAAUUCUAUCAGAGAACUCCUACACCUGAUAAAGAAUUUCAGCAAAGUAGCUGGAUAUAAAAAUUAAAUCAGUAGCCUUCCUCUACACAAAAGAUAAAUGGACUGAAAAAGAAAUUAGGGAAACAACACCCUUCACAGUAGUCACAAAUAAUAUAAACUAUCUUGGUGUAACUCUAACCAAACAAGUGAAAGACUUGUAUCACAUGAACUUCAACUCUCUGAAGAAAGAAAUCGAAGAAGACCCAGAAGAUAGAAAGAUCUCCCAUGCACAUGAAUCAGUAGAAUUGACAUAGUAAAAAUGGCCAUCUUACCAAAAGCAAUCUACAGAUUCAAUGCAAUCAAUCCCCAUCUAAAUUCCAACUCAAUUCUUCGCAGAGAGAGAAAGAGUAAUUCUCAACUUUUUAUGGAAU
RNAcentral lists this long non-coding RNA (2515 nucleotides) under Mus musculus (house mouse). RNAcentral describes it as "long non-coding RNA chr9:72601745-72604260". The record is from RNAcentral. Lineage: Eukaryota; Metazoa; Chordata; Mammalia; Rodentia; Muridae.